GAUGAACGCUGGCGGCGUGCCUAAUACAUGCAAGUCGAGCGAACAGACGAGGAGCUUGCUCCUCUGAUGUUAGCGGCGGACGGGUGAGUAACACGUGGAUAACCUACCUAUAAGACUGGGAUAACUUCGGGAAACCGGAGCUAAUACCGGAUAACAUGGUGAACCGCAUGGUUCAACAGUGAAAGACGGUCUUGCUGUCACUUAUAGAUGGAACCGCGCCGCAUUAGCUAGUUGGUAAGGUAACGGCUUACCAAGGCAACGAUGCGUAGCCGACCUGAGAGGGUGAUCAGCCACACUGGAACUGAGACACGGUCCAGACUCCUACGGGAGGCAGCAGUAGGGAAUAUUCCGCAAUGGGCGAAAGCCUGACGGAGCAACGCCGCGUGAGUGAAGAAGGUCUUCGGAUCGUAAAACUCUGUUAUUAGGGAAGAACAAAUGUGUAAGUAACUAUGCACGUCUUGACGGUACCUACUCAGAAAGCCACGGCUAACUACGUG
Molecule: ribosomal RNA, 497 nt
Filed under: uncultured bacterium
Lineage: Bacteria
Description: partial 16S ribosomal RNA
Rfam family: Bacterial small subunit ribosomal RNA
Source: RNAcentral